AGGGCAGUGGCUACCUUGUAUUACUAAAUAAUAGCCCUCUCUUUAGGGCCCUUUAUGUACAAAUAUCUGUUUGCCUUUCAGGUUUGUAUCUCUGUUCACUUUACAGGAAGUAAGUCUUGUUUUGAGGACUUAUUAGUACUAGUCAAGAUCACUUGUUAGACAAAUACUGACAUAGGUUGGAUAUUUGUCCCCUCCAAAUCUCAUGUUGAAACGUGCUCCCAGUGUUGGAGGUGGAUCCCUCACGAAUGGCUUGGUGCCAUUCUCAUCCUCUCAGUAAUGAGUGAGUUGUCACUCUAUUAGUUACCAUGAGAUCUGGUUGUUAAAAAAAGCCUGACACCUCUUCUCGUUUCUCUUGCUUUCUGUCUCACUUUGUGAUAUACCGACUCCCCCAUUGCCCUCUGCCAUGUUUGUAAGCGUCUUGAGGCCUCAUCAGAAGCAGAUGCUGGCACCAUGCUUCUUGUACAGCCUGCAGAACGAUCCAAAGCUCCAGGAGAGCAUCUGAUUGCUGCAUCCAGGCUCCAUGCUGAGCCCAUGUUGGUGAAGGCUGGAAGAAACAAGUCUGCCCUUUUGGUCUCUACAGUUCCUCCUGAGACUCCCAAAGAAAGGAAUUCCCCUCAACAGUAAGAUUUUGGGAUUAAUAGAUGGCCAAACAUAAGACAAAGCAAAACAAAUGGCCAGUGGCCACUGUAUUUUAUCUCCAGAAUUUGUGAAACUGAUGAAUGUAUAUGAGAGUAUUUCAUGCCACUAAAGUACUCUACUAAUACCAGGAUUUACUGAAGAUGUGAUAGUUGUCUUUCCAUAUGUUUUAUCCCACAGAUAGGUUUCAUUUUUGCUCUUCCAUUUCUUGGCUUUAAUUCACCUUUUCCCAAAAGCACUUCUAGACUGGCCAUCUCAGCUUCCAGUUCUCCCUAAACUUCUUUGAUACUCUAGUCUUUC
Molecule: long non-coding RNA, 936 nt
Filed under: Papio anubis (olive baboon)
Lineage: Eukaryota; Metazoa; Chordata; Mammalia; Primates; Cercopithecidae
Description: lncRNA (ENSPANG00000041301.1)
Source: RNAcentral